RNAcentral lists this ribosomal RNA (258 nucleotides) under uncultured bacterium. RNAcentral describes it as "partial 16S ribosomal RNA". It matches the Rfam family "Bacterial small subunit ribosomal RNA", at positions 524 to 776 of the family's 1533-position model. The record is from RNAcentral.
UACGGAGGAGGCAAGCGUUAUCCGGAAUUAUUGGGCGUAAAGGGCGCGUAGGCGGUCGUGACAAGUCACUUGUGAAAUCUCCGGGCUUAACUCGGAACGGUCAAGUGAUACUGUCGGACUAGAGUACAGAAGGGGGCAACUGGAAUUCUCGGUGUAGCGGUGAAAUGCGUAGAUAUCAGGAAGAACACCGGUGGCGAAGGCGGCUCUCUGGGACGGGUACUGGACGCUGAAGACGCGAAAGCGUGGGGAGCGAACAGG